Molecule: ribosomal RNA, 635 nt
Filed under: uncultured Herbaspirillum sp.
Lineage: Bacteria; Pseudomonadati; Pseudomonadota; Betaproteobacteria; Burkholderiales; Oxalobacteraceae
Description: bacterial SSU rRNA
Rfam family: Bacterial small subunit ribosomal RNA
Source: RNAcentral
AGAGUUUGAUCAUGGCUCAGAUUGAACGCUGGCGGCAUGCCUUACACAUGCAAGUCGAACGGCAGCACGGGAGCUUGCUCCUGGUGGCGAGUGGCGAACGGGUGAGUAAUAUAUCGGAACGUGCCCUAGAGUGGGGGAUAACUAGUCGAAAGAUUAGCUAAUACCGCAUACGAUCUAAGGAUGAAAGUGGGGGAUCGCAAGACCUCAUGCUCGUGGAGCGGCCGAUAUCUGAUUAGCUAGUUGGUGAGGUAAAGGCUCACCAAGGCGACGAUCAGUAGCUGGUCUGAGAGGACGACCAGCCACACUGGAACUGAGACACGGUCCAGACUCCUACGGGAGGCAGCAGUGGGGAAUUUUGGACAAUGGGCGCAAGCCUGAUCCAGCAAUGCCGCGUGAGUGAAGAAGGCCUUCGGGUUGUAAAGCUCUUUUGUCAGGGAAGAAACGGUUCGGGUUAAUACCCGGGGCUAAUGACGGUACCUGAAGAAUAAGCACCGGCUAACUACGUGCCAGCAGCCGCGGUAAUACGUAGGGUGCAAGCGUUAAUCGGAAUUACUGGGCGUAAAGCGUGCGCAGGCGGUUGUACAAGACAGAUGUGAAAUCCCCGGGCUUAACCUGGGAAUUGCAUUUGUGACUGU